This 614-nucleotide ribosomal RNA is filed under the name uncultured bacterium. Its description in RNAcentral is "bacterial SSU rRNA". It matches the Rfam family "Bacterial small subunit ribosomal RNA", at positions 338 to 944 of the family's 1533-position model. The record is from RNAcentral.
CCUACGGGAGGCAGCAGUGGGGAAUUUUGGACAAUGGGCGCAAGCCUGAUCCAGCCAUGCCGCGUGUGGGAAGAAGGCCUUCGGGUUGUAAACCACUUUUGUCAGGGAAGAAACGGCUUUUUCUAAUACAGAGAGCUAAUGACGGUACCUGAAGAAUAAGCACCGGCUAACUACGUGCCAGCAGCCGCGGUAAUACGUAGGGUGCAAGCGUUAAUCGGAAUUACUGGGCGUAAAGCGUGCGCAGGCGGCUUUGCAAGACAGAUGUGAAAUCCCCGGGCUCAACCUGGGAACUGCAUUUGUGACUGCAUGGCUAGAGUACGGUAGAGGGGGAUGGAAUUCCGCGUGUAGCAGUGAAAUGCGUAGAUAUGCGGAGGAACACCGAUGGCGAAGGCAAUCCCCUGGACCUGUACUGACGCUCAUGCACGAAAGCGUGGGGAGCAAACAGGAUUAGAUACCCUGGUAGUCCACGCCCUAAACGAUGUCAACUGGUUGUUGGACGGCUUGCUGUUCAGUAACGAAGCUAACGCGUGAAGUUGACCGCCUGGGGAGUACGGCGCAAGGUUGAAACUCAAAUUGAAUUGACGGNUUGAGAGNGCGAGAGACACGAGGAGAGG